AUACAAUCCAUCUUGAAGGUUUUAAUCUGUCAUAGAACCCUCUCAAUCUUUCACAAGAAAACUAAAUGGAUCGGUCCAUGAAGGUCUUUGUGGUCGUCUUCCUUCUCCUUGUGGCCACAGGGUUCCAGGGAGCAGUGCAGGUAGCUUUGGCGAGGGAGUGUACGUCACCGAGCCACAAGUUUAAGGGGUUGUGCGUGAGCGACACCAACUGUGCAAGUGUUUGCCUGACAGAGCGUUUCCCCGGAGGCAAGUGCGACGGCAUUCGGCAGCGUUGUUUAUGCACCGAGAAAUGCUAGAUGGCCCUGUUUUCGUCUUGGAUACGUACAUGCUUCCGUGUAAUAUUGAUUGAAUAAUACUAGAUCUGCAUCUAUGCAUGUAUGAUGCAUAUGUGAGUGCUA
Triticum aestivum (bread wheat) is the source of this 398-nucleotide long non-coding RNA. RefSeq lists it as uncharacterized. The record is from RefSeq and is a predicted model, not a curated record. NCBI's taxonomy places the organism in Eukaryota, Viridiplantae, Streptophyta, Magnoliopsida, Poales, Poaceae. The transcript is spliced from 2 exons.